This 1973-nucleotide long non-coding RNA is filed under the name Glycine max (soybean). RNAcentral describes it as "long non-coding RNA (GMAX_LNC000842)". Lineage: Eukaryota; Viridiplantae; Streptophyta; Magnoliopsida; Fabales; Fabaceae. The record is from RNAcentral.
CGUGUCUCACAGGAAUGAGACCUAGCUCAAGAGUAUUCAAGAGUGAAUUGUAAUCUGUCACAUCUAUGUUGGCAUUAAGGUUAUAUAAGAACACAUCGUGUUUAACCGAUUUGAUAUUCUAGUAAGAGUUAUCAUACAUGAUUCUCUCAGUUACCCCAAGAUCCCUGGGCGCGCAUCAUGAGUAGUUAAGGUCAUUUAAUGGCUAAGGAUUGAGUGGCAUGCAUAGUUUGCACUUGACUUGCAGUGUGAUGACAUUAGUCGGAUAUCGAAUGAGGGAGCUGAAGGGGAAUCGUCCGACCAAGGAGCCUAAAGGGUACACAACCCUGUAGUCUCAAGUGGUGAGCCUGAAGAAACUAAGCACAAGGUCGACAGGUGGUCGAAGGGAUACAUAGCCCCAUAGUCUUGAGUGCAUGAGCAUAAAGAGACUAAGCACAACCUUGGUAAGGGGUUGAAAGGGUACACAAACCCAUAGUCUCAAGUGCGCAAGCACGAAGAGACUAAGCACGAGGUUUUGUGGUACUCGACCGAGGGACUCAAAUGAUUUUUCCCAGAGGUCACGAAGCUUUGAUGAGACUUCAUGAAGUGUUGCCUCAGUUGAAGAAAGGCAAAUGAAAGGACGCAUUGGUGACAUUUGGGGGUGAAGUGACAUCACGGUUUGAGCCUUGACACAUCGUUCUACGAGUGGUGUGAGUGGUGAAGAUUUUAUUUGAAACGAAACGCUGGGAGGGAAGCAUCACACGCUUUCGUAGUUGUUACACCCUUCGUUGCCCAUGCCACACACCCCUUGGGGCUUAUAAAUAUGCCUAAAACUUCAAAACCCCUCACCACUUCACCAUUUCUUCAAAAACUCUCACCAUUUCUUGAUUUUCUUGGCAUUUGGUCGUGAUAGGGAGGCGAUAUCUGAUGUGGGUGCUCUUGUGAGGCAGUGAUGGGAACGUAAAGGCUUGGGAAAAGCUAGCGCAAGACUUUUCAGAGAAUAAGGUACCACCUGACCCCCCUUGUCUUGUUUUAUCCAAUUGGGUAAUUUAUUUUGGGGGGGGGGGGGGGGGGGGGCUCGCGGAGGCAUAUAUUCACCGAGUAAUGGAGAUUGAUUAUGACACACUGUAUUCAUGGGAAAAGGAAGAAGUCAUGAGAGCGAGGUCAGUAUAUGUCGACUAGCCUUCUUUAGAGCGGGUGAGGGAUGAACUCGUGGUGACCAUAGAUGGUUAUGACAAGAAUGUGAUGGAUGAGCCUUGUUUGGCAAGCGAGCCUGUGUGCAUCGGGCGGCAUGGGAAUAAGUCUGCCUUUUCCUUUUUUUUUAUGAAACCAUUUUUUCUAAACUAGGAAUUAGGUUUCCCCUUACCAAGUUCGAGAAAGGGGCCUUGCUUGUGUUGAAUGUCACCCUAACACAACUACACCCCAAUAGUUGGGCAUUCAUUAAAGGCUUCCAAUUGUUGUGUAAGAUACUUGGUCAAAUGUCGACCAUGAAUAUGUUUUUUUUAUUUCUUCGAGUUUACCGAUUCCAAAAAGGUCAUGUGGGUGCCAAUUAAUAUUGUUGGUGGGUAGGGGAUUUUGACAUUGUUCAUGUCUUAUAAAAAUUUCAAAGAUAAAUUUUUUGAAGUUAGGGUCCCUGCACACAACACCGACAUAUUAGAGGGCUUUCUGAACUAUUGAACUAGCAACCCCUAGAAUUAUGGGAAUUUAGGUUUGGAUGGUUUAUUGGAGGCCGAGCAAGUAAGGAUUGAAGAUAUUAAAUAGUUAACUUUAUACAAUUCCAUGUUCAAAAUGGCUAGGAUUAUUGAAUUGGAAUACUGUUGGGUUGAUUUCAGGGUGUAAUCAUUAUGAGUUUUGUAUGUUUGCUAUUUGAUUAAGUCAUUUAUUUUUAUUGACAUCAAAUGAAUAAAUCUAUGUUUUAUUUCAAAGAGGAUGAGUAGAAAAGCCAUGGCUCCAUCAAAGAGCGAAAUGGCCCGUCUCCUAGUCGAGAAGGAGAGGAA